This 245-nucleotide unclassified non-coding RNA is filed under the name uncultured Sordariomycetes. RNAcentral's name for it is "sequence contains 5.8S rRNA gene". The record is from RNAcentral. Lineage: Eukaryota; Fungi; Ascomycota; Sordariomycetes.
GAACGCACAUUGCGCCCAUUAGUAUUCUAUUGGGCAUGCCUGUUCGAGCGUCAUUUUGACCACUUAAGCCUAGCUUAGUGUUGGGAAUCUACGUUUGUAGUUCCUUAAAUCUAGUGGCGGAGCCGCAGUGGCCUCUGAGCGUAGUAAUUUUUUCUCGCUUUCGAAGGUUCUGUAGUUUUUGCCGUUAAACCCCCAAUUUUUUAAGGUUGACCUCGGAUCAGGUAGGAAUACCCGCUGAACUUAAG